RNAcentral lists this ribosomal RNA (422 nucleotides) under uncultured bacterium. Its description in RNAcentral is "bacterial SSU rRNA". It matches the Rfam family "Bacterial small subunit ribosomal RNA", at positions 356 to 770 of the family's 1533-position model. The record is from RNAcentral.
GGGGAAUUUUGGACAAUGGGGGCAACCCUGAUCCAGCCAUCCCGCGUGUGCGAUGAAGGCCUUCGGGUUGUAAAGCACUUUUGGCAGGGAAGAAACAGCCUGGGCUAAUAUCCCGGGCGACUGACGGUACCUGCAGAAUAAGCACCGGCUAACUACGUGCCAGCAGCCGCGGUAAUACGUAGGGGGCAAGCGUUGUCCGGAUUUCCUGGGUGUAAAGGGUGCUCAGGAGGAUUUGUAAGUCAGAGGUGAAAUCUUACAGCUUAACUGUGAAACUGUCUUUGAUACUGCAAGCCUAGAGUAUGGAAGAGAGUGAUGGAAGAUCUGGUGUAGCAGUGAAAUGCGUAGAUAUCAGAUAGAACACCAAUGGCGAAGGCAGUCACUUGGUCCAUUACUGACGCUAAAGCACGAAAGCGUGGGUAGCA